RNAcentral lists this small nucleolar RNA (113 nucleotides) under Olea europaea subsp. europaea. RNAcentral describes it as "Plant small nucleolar RNA R71". It matches the Rfam family "Plant small nucleolar RNA R71". From Rfam's summary of the family: R71 is a member of the C/D box family of snoRNAs containing the C (UGAUGA) and D (CUGA) box motifs. Multiple nearly identical copies of this snoRNA have been identified in Arabidopsis, and it is thought to function as a 2'-O-ribose methylation guide for 18S ribosomal RNA. Lineage: Eukaryota; Viridiplantae; Streptophyta; Magnoliopsida; Lamiales; Oleaceae. The record is from Rfam by way of RNAcentral.
AAGACAUGAUCGAUAAUUGGACACUUCUUCAUCAACUCCUUAAAUCUGUUCCAUGCCUCGUGAUAGCUUUCCCCAUCUAUUUUUUUAAAGGUUUGAAUUUUCAAUCUGAUUUU